UCAGCAAUAAGUGUCAGAACAGGGAUCGAUAGAGGAUGAAGAAGAAUCUAGUUUUGAUUUGGAGUAAGGCGUUAGCAAGUAUGCUCCUAGGAUUAAAUUAAUACAAUAAAAUGAAGCUCCAAGCUAUCUAUGAAUAUGCAGGCGAAUAGGUAUGAACAACAUAUAAUUUGACUUUAAGUAAGAGAAAAAAAAUAUCUGCUUUGCAAUCCAAAGCUUAAAUUCCAAAUAAAUACACCAUUUUUUUUAUUGAAUUAAAUGCAAUCGAGUGCCCUUCAUGCUAAAUGUCCAUGGCACUUGGCGAGAGCAAUUCACGCAGCAAAUUGGUGCAUGAAGUGCGUCUGCUGCGGCUGCAAAAAGUGCAUUGGAACGCAAUUAAAACUGGGGCAAUUUCAACAAUUUAUGGACACGAACUUAAUGACAAUGCGGUGGUAAUUAUCCCGGGCGCUAAAUCACAGCUAGUUUCGUGUUAAAUUGUGUGCUGCCUUAAAUGCCACGCCCAAAUAAUUAGAUACAGCAGCAACAAGAAAUGAAUAAAUAAAAUAAAAAGAAGAACAUUUUUAGCUGCUACAUUUGGUGCUCAAUUCACACACACAGACACACACUUAUACACGCACCCUAAUAGCCACGCACACUCAGGCAAAGCCGUAGAUACACGCAUAGAGCACACAAUAGACAGCAGAGCGAAGCAGUGAAGGAAGCGCUGCUGGCGCUCGUGCACAUUCUGUACAGAUAAUGGUAGACCACACACGCAGAGGCACGCAGAAGGAAGCCGGGCCAACGAAACGACGACGGAGUCGACGCCACAAUCAGAGACAGCGGCAGCAACAGCGGCAGCGAAGCGUGUGGCGUUCUUGGCUGAGAGCAAAUUCUAAAAUAUUACGUAUACGCAACGUUGUUGCGUCUCUCUGCGGUUUUCAGCAAUAUUACGUAGCAACCACAGUGCGCCGCCAUCGUCGUCGUCAACGUCACAGACGACGGGCUACGACAAUGUCGAGUAGCAUGGCAACAUGUGACUUGCUCUUGGCUCGUGGUUACCAUUUUGUGGGCGUGGGCCUUUGCCUUGGAUAGUCGGAAAUAAAGCACCCAUGUGUCAGCGCUGACUCGCACUGAAUGGGCAGGCAACGUUCCAUGCUUUCCUUCCUUUUAGGCACGGCACGGCAUGGCACGGCGUAAAUCUUAAUCCUCACGCGCUUGGCUGGCAACGCUGGCGACACUAAACAACAACCACAACAACCACAACAACAACAACAACAACAUCAGGCGCAUUAAUAACUGGAGAUAAGGGAUCUUAGGCCUGAAAUGUAGCACUUCGAACGCAACUCCCCAUAGAGGUUGCUAGACUCUGCUUUUAAACUUAUGAAAUACAACACUAAUAGAGCACAUA
This is a non-coding RNA of Drosophila virilis, 1384 nucleotides long. Lineage: Eukaryota; Metazoa; Arthropoda; Insecta; Diptera; Drosophilidae. The record is from RefSeq and is a predicted model, not a curated record.